This 259-nucleotide long non-coding RNA is filed under the name Phoenix dactylifera (date palm). RNAcentral's name for it is "long non-coding RNA (PDAC_LNC014682)". The record is from RNAcentral. Lineage: Eukaryota; Viridiplantae; Streptophyta; Magnoliopsida; Arecales; Arecaceae.
AACAUCAAGCAAGUCACUGACGAGUGGAUAGACAUCCAAGUGACUUCUUGUCUUGGUCACGCUCAGUACCCUUGUUCUCUAACAAGCACCUGCACUAUCACUUCAGUGUCCCUACACUGUAGACUCCAGCCUCGUCCAUCCAGAAGGAGAGUGAUCUGUGCACUGAUCGGAUCGAUCACCGUCCUCAUGAUGAUCCAUUGAUCAGGAGCAUUUAGAAAUUAAUCACCAAUGAUACAUGGCUCAAAUUCUCAACUCUUGA